UACACGGUUGUCGGGGCCUGGGUAGGUGU
Molecule: non-coding RNA, 29 nt
Filed under: Bombyx mori (domestic silkworm)
Lineage: Eukaryota; Metazoa; Arthropoda; Insecta; Lepidoptera; Bombycidae
Source: RNAcentral